AGCCGCCGCUCGACACCGUCAAGUCUCACCCCCGAGCACUAGCGUCGUGAUCCGCGCGGAGAGCCCAGCCGUCGAGCAAGAUCCCCUCGGCGGCCUCCUGCUCCUCGCCGGCGAGGCCCUCGAACGAGCAACCAAAUCCAGGUGAGAUUCUCUUCCUUCUCUCUUCUGUGCAUCCCUUCCUCUGUCCGGAGUCGAUUUAAGGCGUGAGGUAGAGAUGCAGCUCCGUAUUCAUCUUCAUUCUUUUUGCUUGCUACUUUUAUGACUCCACAAAGAGUACAAGAGCCUAAGCGUACAAAUUCUUCUGCUUCAUCUCAAUUUUGAGCGGUUUAUUUUCAUAUAGAUCACUUAUUUGAGUAGAGAUAUGACAACUUUCGCACUGGAAAAUGCUGUAAUAUCAUGCAAAAUUGAGGAAUCAUGUAUAUGCUGAAAAAUAUCACUGUUUGACUUUUAAAUUUCAGAGUCUACUAUUUGUGUAAUGUAUGCGCCCCCAUAAACUGCACCUACAUUUAAAUUUUAUCUGGCCACAAUUGUGAGAAAGUUUAGGGUAAUGAACAAACAAACAAAAGGUACGCAGUCUUCAAUUAGCAGGAAUACUUCUGGAAAAUUGUACAUUUGAAAAAAAAAACAAUUUUAAUCAUGCAGCUUGCCAUGCUUUCUUGCAGGAAGGACACACCCUUUAGGGUUAUUAAUCGUAUUUUUUAUCGCUCGACAGAGCUUGUGCAUAUCGCCAGGAUUUGAGUAUUCAGAAGCCCACAAAUAGAGGCACUAUUUGAACUCAAUUUUGUCAUGGUUUACAGUCAGGUUACAUCUGACCCACAACUUAUAUAUGGGCUGUUUGGUUCCCAGCCACAACUUGCCACACUUUGACACGCCUCAUAUUAGGCAAGAUUGACCAAAUUAGGUAGGUGUUUGGUUCUAGCCACACCUAAGGUAAGAAUAUUUUUAUGACCAGUGAACCCCACCGAAGGAAAUAUGCCUUAGAGGCAAUAAUAAAGUUGUUAUUUAUAUUUCCUUAUAUCAUGAUAAAUGUUUAUUAUUCAUGCUAGAAUUGUAUUAACCGGAAACUUAGUACAUGUGUGAAUACAUAGACAAACAGAGUGUCCCUAGUAUGCCUCUACUUGACUAGCUCGUUAAUCAAAGAUGGUUAAGUUUCCUAACCAUAGACAUGUGUUGUCAUUUGGUGAACGGGAUCACAUCAUUAGAGAAUGAUGUGAUGGACAAGACCCAUCCAUUAGCUUAGCAUAAUGAUCAUUUUAUUUUAUUGCUAUUGCUUUCUUCAUGACUUAUACAUGUUCCUCUGACUAUGAGAUUAUGCAACUCCCGAAUAUCGGAGGAACACCUUGUGUGCUAUCAAACGUCACAACGUAACUGAGUGAUUAUAAAAAUGCUCUAAAGGUGUCUCCGAAGGUGUUUGUUGGGUUGGCAUAGAUCGAGAUUAGGAUUUUUCACUCCGAGUAUCGGAGAGGUAUCCGAGCCAGGUCUAUGCGUAGAUGUUAUAUGCACGAGUAGAACACAAAGAGUUCUGCGCGAUAAUAGUCAUACUGCUUACCACUAACGCCUUACUUUGAUUUGGCAGUAUUGUUGGAUGAAGCGGCCCGGACAGACAUUACAUGACCGCUUUCAUGAGACUGGUUCUACCGACGUGCUUCGCACAUAGGUGGCUAGCGGGUGUCAGUUUCUCCAACUUUAGUUGAACCGAGUUUGACUACGAUCGGUCCUUGUUGAAGGUUAAAACAACACACUUGACAAAAAAUCAUUGUGGUUUUGAUGCGUGGGUAAGAACAGUUCUUGCUAGAAGCCCGUAGCGGCCACGUAAAACUUGCAACAACAAAGUAGAGGACGUCUAACUUGUUUUUGCAGGGCAUGUUGUGAUGUGAUAUGGUCAAGACGUGAUGAGAUAUAAAUUGUUGUAUGAAAUGAUCAUGUUUUGUAACCGUUAUCGGCAACUGGCAGGAGCCUUAUGGUUGUCGCUUUAUUGUAUGAAAUGCAAUCGCCAUAUAAUUGCUUUACUUUAUCACUAAGUGGUAGUGAUAGCUGUAGAAGCAAUAGUUGGCGAGACGACAACGAUGCUACGAUGGAGAUCAAGGUGUCAAGCCGGUGACGAUGGAGAUCAUGACGGUGCUUUGGAGAUGAAGAUCAAAGUCACAAGAUGAUGAUGGCCAUAUCAUGUCACAUAUUUUGAUUGCAUGUGAUGUUUAUCCUUUAUGCAUCUUAUUUUGCUUAGUAUAGCGGUAGCAUUAUAAGAUGAUCUCUCACUAAAUUUCAAGGUAUAAGUGUUCUCCCUAAGUAUGCACCAUUGCUACAGUUCGUCGUGUCGAGACACCACGUGAUGAUCGGGUGUGAUAAGCUCUACGUUCACAUACAACGGGUGCAAGCCAGUUUUGCACGUGCAAAAUAUUUGGGUUAAACUUGACGAGCCUAGCAUAUGCAGAUAUGGCCUCGGAACACUGAGACCGAAAGGUCGAGCGUGAAUCAUAUAGUAGAUAUGAUCAACAUAGUGAUGUUCACCAUUGAAAACUACUCCAUCUCACGUGAUGAUCGGACAUGGUUUAGUUGAUAGAUCACGUGAUCAUUUAGAUGACUAGAGGGAUGUCAAUCUAAGUGGGAGUUCUUAAAUAAUAUGAUUAAUUGAACUUUAAUUUAUCAUGAACUUAGUACCCGAUAGUUUUUGCAUGUUAUGUUGUUGUAGAUCAAUGGCCCGUGCUACCGUUCCCUUGAAUUUUAAUGCGUUCCUAGAGAAAGCUAAGUUGAAAGAUGAUGGUAGCAAUUACACGGACUGGGUCCGUAACUUGAGGAUUAUCCUCAUUGCUGCACAGAAGAAUUAUGUCCUAGAAGCACCGCUAGGUGUACCACCUGCGCCAACAACUGCAGACAUUGUGAAUGCCUGGCAGUCGCGUGUUGAUGACUACUCGAUAGUUCAGUGUGCCAUGCUCUACGGCUUAGAAUCGGGACUUCAAAGACGUUUUGAACAUAAUGGAGCAUAUGAGAUGUUCCAGGAGUUGAAGUUAAUAUUUCAAGCAAAUGCCCGGGUUGAGAGAUAUGAAGUCUCCAACAAGUUCUAUAGCUGCAAGAUGGAGGAGAAUAGUUCUGUCAGUGAACAUAUACUCAGAAUGUCUGGGUACCACAACCACUUGACUCAACUGGGAGUUAAUCUUCCUGAUGAUAGUGUCAUUGACAGAGUUCUUCAAUCACUGCCACCAAGCUACAAAAGCUUCGUGAUGAACUAUAAUAUGCAAGGGAUGGAUAAGACAAUUCCCGAGCUCUUCGCGAUGCUAAAGGCUGCGGAGGUAGAAAUCAAGAAGGAGCAUCAAGUGUUUAUGGUUAACAAGACCACUAGUUUCAAGAAAAAGGGCAAAGGGAAGAAGGGUAACUUCAAGAAGAACGCCAAGCAAGUUGUUGCUCAAGUGAAGAAACCCAAGUCUGGACCUAAGCCUGAGACUGAGUGCUUUUACUGCAAACAGAAUGGUCACUGGAAGCAAAACUGCACCAAGUAUUUGGCGGAUAAGAAGGAUGGCAAAGUGAAAGGUAUAUAUUUGAUAUACAUGUUAUUGAUGUGUACCUUACUAAUUCUCGUAUUAGCGCCUGGGUAUUUGAUACUGGUUCUGUUGCUCAUAUUUGCAACUCGAAACAGGGGCUACGGAUUAAACGAAGGUUGGCUAAGGACGAGGUGACGAUGGGCGUGGGAAAUGGUUCCAAAUUCGAUGUGAUCACCGUCGGCACGCUACCUCUACAUCUACCUUCGGGAUUAGUUUUAGACCUGAAUAAUUGUUAUUUGGUGCCAGCGUUAAGCAUGAAUAUUAUAUCUGGAUCUUGUUUGAUGUGAGACGGUUAUUCAUUUAAAUUAGAGAACAAUGGUUGUUCUAUUUAUAUGAGUAAUAUCUUUUAUGGUCGUGCACCCUUGAUGAGUGGUCUAUUUUCCUUGAAUCUUGAUUGUAGUGAUACACAAAGAUGCAAGGUUAAUAAUGAUAGUGCAACUUAUUUGUGGCACUGCCGUUUAGGUCAUAUUGGUGUAAAGCUGUAGGAUCGAAAGUAUNNNNNNNNNNNNNNNNNNNNNNNNNNNNNNNNNNNNNNNNNNNNNNNNNNNNNNNNNNNNNNNNNNNNNNNNNNNNNNNNNNNNNNNNNNNNNNNNNNNNNNNNNNNNNNNNNNNNNNNNNNNNNNNNNNNNNNNNNNNNNNNNNNNNNNNNNNNNNNNNNNNNNNNNNNNNNNNNNNNNNNNNNNNNNNNNNNNNNNNNNNNNNNNNNNNNNNNNNNNNNNNNNNNNNNNNNNNNNNNNNNNNNNNNNNNNNNNNNNNNNNNNNNNNNNNNNNNNNNNNNNNNNNNNNNNNNNNNNNNNNNNNNNNNNNNNNNNNNNNNNNNNNNNNNNNNNNNNNNNNNNNNNNNNNNNNNNNNNNNNNNNNNNNNNNNNNNNNNNNNNNNNNNNNNNNNGAUUAGACUACUUGACCAAAUAAAAAUCUAACCUUUUCCCAAUUUUAAGUCUUGGCAGAUUUUAGCAACUUAGAGAAAGUCAAGCAAUCAACCUACACAUGCAAGUCUAAGAGUAUAGCAGCGGAAUGUAAAACAUUGCACAUGAAGGUGAAGGGAGGAGUUUGGAGGGAGCAAACGCAAUGUAGACACGGAGAUUUUUGGCGUGGUUCCGAUAGGUGGUGCUAUCGUACAUCCACGUUGAUGGAGACUUCAACCCACGAAGGGUAACGGUUGCGCGAGUCCACGGAGGGCUCCACCCAUGAAGGGUCCACGAAGAAGCAACCUUUUCUGUCCCACCAUGGCCAUCGCCCAUGAAGGACUUGCCUCACUAGGGUAGAUCUUCACGAAGUAGGCGAUCUCCUUGCCCGUACAAACUCCUUGGUUCAACUCCACAAUCUUGACGGAGGCUCCCAAGUGACACCUAACCAAUCUAGGAGACACCACUCUCCAAAAGGUAAUAGAUGAUGUGUUGAUGAUGAACUCCUUGCUCUUGUGCUUCAAAUGAUAGUCUCCCCAACACUCAACUCUCUCUCACGGAUUUGGAUUUGGUGGAAAGAUGAUUUGAGUGGAAAGCAACUUGGAGAAGGCUAGAGAUCAAGAUUUAUGUGGUUGGAAUGGAAUAUCUUGACCUCAACACAUGAGUAGGUGGUUCUCUCUCAGAAAAUGUAUGCUGAAAGUGUAGGCAUGUUCUGUUGGCUCUCUCCACGAAUGAAGAGUGGGUGGAGGGGUAUAUAUAGCCUCCACACAAAAUCUAACCGUUACACACAAUUCACCAAACUCGGUGGGACCGAAUCAGAAAACUCGGUCAGACCGAUUCAGUUCAAAAUGUGAACGUUAGGCUUUUCGGUGGGACCGACAUGUCAACUCAGUGGGACCGAUUUCAUUAGGGUUAGGGCAUAAUGUAAUCUCGGUGAGACCGAUUACACAAACUCGGUGAAACCGACUUUGGUAAUAAGCUAACCAGAGAGUUGGUCAGGCAAACUCGGUGGGACCGAUUCGCUCAUUUCGGUGUGACCGAAAUGUUACGAAGGGGAAACAGAGAGUUUGCAUUGCGAACUCGGUGGGACCGAUCGCUCAUCUCGGUUAGACUGAAAUGUUACGAAGGGAAACAGAGAGUUUGCAAUCCCAUCUCGGUGAGACCGAGAUCCCUAUCGGUGACAUCGAAGUGACUAUGGUUUCUGGCAGUGGUUAUGUCAAAUGAACUCGGUGGCGCCGGAUAGAACAUUUCGGUGGGGCCGAGUUUGAAUUUUGGUUUGGGACAUAUGUGGAUAUGAGAAAGUGGUUGAGGGUUUUUGGUGCAUAUCACUAAGCAUUUUGAGCAAGUAAGCCAUUAAGCAACACCUCAUCCCCUUUUAAUAGUAUUGGCUUUUCCUACGGACUCAAUGUGAUCUUGGAUCACUGAAAUGAAGAUGUAGAGUCUUGAUCUUGAGCCAAUACGUGUCCUUAGCAUUUUGAGGGGUCCACAUUCCUAAUCCAUGCCAUGCCAAUCACUGAACUUUCUGAAAUGAUCAUCUUGGAAUAGCAUUAGUUCAAUGAGCUAUAUGUUGUUAGUAAUUACCAAAACCACCCUGGGAUAGUUGCACUUUCAAAAGCCCAUGAAGAAACUCCAUGCUGAUGGACUUUUGGAAUCACUUGAUGCUUGCGAACCAUGCCUCAUGGGCAAGAUGACUAAGACUCCGUUCUCCGGAACAAUGGAGUGAGCAACAAACUUGUUGGAAAUAAUACAUACUGAUAUAUGCGGUCAGAUGAGUGUUGAGGCUCGCGGCGGGUAUCGUUAUUUUUUGACCUUCACAGAUGAUUUGAGCAGAUAUGGGUAUAUCUACUUGAUGAAAUAUAAGUCUGAAACAUUUCAAAAGUUCAAAGAAUUUCAGAGCAAAGUGGAAAAUCAUCGUAACAAGAAAAUAAAGUUUCUACGAUCUGAUCAUGGAGGUGAAUAUUUGAGUUAUGAGUUUGGUCUUCAUUUGAAACAACAUGGAAUAGUUUCGCAACUCACACCACCUGGAACACCACAGCGUAAUGGUGUGUCCGAACAUCGUAACCGUACUUUAUUAGAUAUGGUGCGAUCUAUGGUGCCUUACUGAUUUACCACUAUCGUUUUGGGGUUAUGCUUUAGAGACGGCUGCAUUCACGUUAAAUAGGGCACCAUCUAAAUCCGUUGAGACGACACCAUAUGAACUGUGGUUUGGCAAGAAACCUAAGCCGUCGUUUCUUAAAGUUUGGGGUUGCGAUGCUUAUGUGAAAAAGCUUCAAGUGGAUAAGCUUGAACCCAAAUCGGAGAAAUGUGUCUUCAUAGGAUACCCAAAGGAGACUGUUGGGUACACCUUCUACCACAGAUCCGAAGGCAAGAUAUUCGUUGCUAAGAACGGAUCCUUUCAAGAGAAGGAGUUUUUCUUGAAAGAAGUGAGUGGGAGGAAAGUAGAACUUGAUGAGGUAAUUGUACCUUCUCCUGAAUUGGGAAGUAGUUCAUCACAGAAAUCAGUUCCAGUGAUUACUACACCAAUCAGUGAGGAAGCUAAUGAUGAUGAUCAUGAAACUUUAGAUCAAGUUACUACCGAACCUCGUAGGUCAACCAGAGUAAGGUCCGCACCAGAGUGGUACGAUAAUCCUGUUCUAGAGGUCAUGUUACUUUACCAUGACGAACCUACGAACUAUGAGGAAGCGAUGAUGAGCCCAGAUUCCGCGAAAUGGCUUGAGGCCAUGAAAUCUGAGAUGGGAUCCAUGUAUGAGAACAAAGUGUGGACUUUGGUUGACUUGCCCGAUGAUCGGCAAUCCAUAGAGAAUAAAUGGAUCUUCAAGAAGAAGACUAACGCUGACGGUAAUGUUACUAUCUACAAAGCUCGACUUGUUGCGAAAGGUUUUCGACAAGUUCAAGGAGUUGAAAUGAUAAGACCUUCUCACCCGUAGCGAUGCUUAAGUCUGUCCGAAUCAUGUUAGCAAUUGCUGCAUUUUAUGAGUAUGAAAUCUGGCAAAUGGAUGUCAAAACUGCAUUCCUUAAUGGAUAUCUUAAAGAAGAGUUGUAUAUGAUGCAACCAAAAGGUUUUGUCGAUCCAAAAGGUUCUAAGAAAGUGUGCAAGCUCCAGCUAUCCAUUUAUGGACUGGUGCAAGACUCUUGGAGUUGGAAUAUACGCUUUGAUAGUGUGAUCAAAGCAUAUGGUUUUAUACAGACUUUUGGAGAAGCCUGUAUUUACAAGAAAGUGAGUGGGAGCUCUGUCGAAUUUCUGAUAUUAUAUGUGGAUGACAUAUUGUUGAUCGGAAAUGAUAUAGAAUUUCUGGAUAGCAUAAAAGGAUACUUGAAUAAGAUUUUUUCAGUGAAAGACCUCGGUGAAGCUGCUUAUAUAUUGGGCAUCAAGAUCUAUAUAGAUAGAUCAAGAUGCUUAAUUGGACUUUCACAAAGCACAUACCUUGAUAAAGUUUUGAAGAAGUUCAAAAUGGAUCAGUCAAAGAAAGGGUUCUUACCUGUGUUACAAGGUGUGAAGUUGAGUCAGACUCAAUGCCCGACCACUGCAGAAGAUAGAGAGAAAAUGAAAGUCAUUCCCUAUGCCUUAGCCAUAGGUUCUAUCAUGUAUGCAAUACUGUGUACCAGACCUGAUGUGUGCCUUGCUAUUAGUUUAGCAGGGAGAUACCAAAGAAAUCCAGGAGUGGAUCACUGGACAACGGUCAAGAACAUCCUGGAAUACCUGAAAAGGACUAAGGAUAUGUUUCUCGUUUAUGGACGUGACAAAGAGCUCGUCGUAAAUGGUUACAUCGAUGCAAGCUUUGACACUGAUCCGGAUGACUCUAAGUCACAAACCGGAUACAUAUUUAUAUUGAAUGGUGGAGCUGUCAGUUGGUGCAGUUCAAAGCAAAGCGUCGUGACGGGAUCUACGUGUGAAGCGGAGUACAUAGAUGCUUUGGAAGCAGCAAAUGAAGGAGUCUGGAUGAAGGAGUUCAUAUCCGAUCUAGGUGUAAUACCUAGUGCAUCGGGUCCAAUGAAAAUCUUUCGUGACAAUACUGGAGCAAUAGCCUUGGCGAAGGAAUCCAGAUUUCACAAGAGAACCAACACAUCAAGAGACGCUUCAAUUCCAUCCGCGAUCAAGUCAAGGAGGGAGACAUAGAGAUUUGCAAAAUACAUACGGAUCUGAAUGUUGCAGACCCGUUGACUAAGCCUCUCUCACGAGCAAAACAUGAUCAGCACCAAGACUCCAUGGGUUUUGGAAUCAUUACUAUGUAAUGUAGAUUAUUGACUCUAGUGCAAGUGGGAGACUGAAGAAAUAUGCCCUCGAGGCAAUAAUAAAGUUGUUAUUUAUAUUUCCUUAUAUCAUGAUAAAUGUUUAUUAUUGAUGCUAGAAUUGUAUUAACCAGAAACUUAGUACAUGUGUGAAUACAUAGACAAACAGAGUGUCACUAGUAUGCCUCUACUUGACUAGCUCGUUAAUCAAAGAUGGUUAAGUUUCCUAACCAUAGACAUGUGUUGUUAUUUGGUGAAUGGGAUCACAUCAUUAAAGAAUGAUGUGAUGGACAAGACCCAUCCGUUAGCUUAGCAUAAUGAUCGUUUAGUUUUAUUGCUAUUGCUUUCUUCAUGACUUAUACAUGUUCCUCUGACUAUGAGAUUAUGCAACUCCCGAAUACCGGAGGAACACCUUGUGUGCUAUCAAACAUCACAAUGUAACUGGGUGAUUAUAAAGAUGCUCUACAGGUGUCUCCGAAGGUGUUUGUUGAGUUGGCAUAGAUCAAGAUUAGGAUUUUUCACUCCGUGUAUCGGAGAGGUAUCUCUAGGCCCUCUCGGUAAUGCACAUCACUAUAAGCCUUGCAAGCAAUGUGACUAAUGAGUUAGUUGCGGGAUGAUACAUUACGGAACGAGUAAAGAGACUUGCCAUUAACAAGAUUGAACUAGGUAUGAGGAUACCGACGAUCGAAUCUCGGGCAAGUAACAUACCGAUGACAAAGGGAACAACGUAUGUUGUUAUGUGGUUUAACCGAUAAAGAUCUUCGUAGAAUAUGUAGGAGCCAAUAUGAGCAUCCAGGUUCCGCUAUUGGUUAUUGACCGGAGAUGUGUAUCGGUCAUGUCUACAUAGUUCUCGAACCCGUAGGGUCUGCACACUUAACGUUCGAUGACAGUUUGUAUUAUGAGUUAUGUGAUUUGAUGACCAAAGUUUGUUUGGAGUCUCGGAUGAGAUAACGGACAUGACAAGGAGUCUCGAAUGGUCGAGAGGUAAAGAUUCAUAUAUUGGAAGGUUACAUUCGGACACCGGAAUGGUUUCAGGAAGUAUCGGAUAAGUUUUGGAGUACCGGGAGGUUACCGGAACCCCCCGGGAAGGUUAUGGGCCAACAUCGGCCUUAGUGGAGGAGAGAGGGACGACCAUAGGAGGUGGCGCACGCCCCCCUUGCCAAUCCGAAUUGGACAAGGGGUGGGGGUGGCGCCCCCCUUUCCCUCUCCUACUCCUUCUCUCUUUCCCCCUUUGCUACUCUGGAAAAGGAAAAAGAAAGGGGAAUCCUACUAGGACUUGGGAGUCCUAGUAGGACUCCCCACACUUGGCGCGCCCCUAGGGGCCCUUCCUCCUCCUCCCCCUCCUUUAUAUACGUGGGAGGGGGGCGCCCCAAACACACACCAAGUCUUCUCUUAGCCGUGUGCGGUGCCCCCCUCCACAGUUACACACCUCGGUCAUAUCGUCGUAGUGCUUAGGCGAAGCCCUGCGCCGGUAACUUCAUCAUCACUAUUGCCACGCCGUCAUGCUGACCGAACUCUCCCUCGUCCUCAACUGGAUCAAGAGUUCGAGGGACGUCAUCGUGGUGAACGCGGAGGUGCCAUACGUUCGGUACUUGGAUCGGUUGGAUCGUGAAGACAUUCGACUACAUCAACCGUGUUACUAAACGCUUCCGCUUUCGGUCUACGAGGGUACGUGGACACACUCUCCCCACUCGUUGCUAUGCUUCUCCUAGAUAGAUCUUGCAUGUUUGUAGGAUUUUUUUUGAAAUACUACGAUUCCCAACACCCACAUGUCAUAGGCACAAAAAGUGUGGCAAGAUUCCCUUAGGCAAGCUAAAGUGUGGCUAACAAUUUGAGCAACUCAAGUGAGGCAAGUGUGGCAAAAGUCAUGUGGAAAUAUAUGGCAAAUAUAGUCAUAAUCCAAACAGCCCCAUAGUGUCAUGUUUUAUUCAACAUAUACUCAAUAAUUAGAUCAUGUCAGUAAUUAGAACAUAUCAACAGGGAACUAUCAUGGAUGAAGUGGUGCCAAUACACCGAAUUAACAAGUUCAGGCACAAUCUGAAAGAAUGCUUCAUCUAGCGAUUGCAUGUUUCCCUUCUCGAUUCUAGCGG
This 10761-nucleotide long non-coding RNA is filed under the name Triticum aestivum (bread wheat). Its description in RNAcentral is "long non-coding RNA (TAES_LNC008853)". Lineage: Eukaryota; Viridiplantae; Streptophyta; Magnoliopsida; Poales; Poaceae. The record is from RNAcentral.